This 253-nucleotide ribosomal RNA is filed under the name uncultured bacterium. RNAcentral's name for it is "partial 16S ribosomal RNA". It matches the Rfam family "Bacterial small subunit ribosomal RNA", at positions 524 to 776 of the family's 1533-position model. The record is from RNAcentral.
UACGUAGGCAGCAAGCGUUGUUCGGAAUUACUGGGCGUAAAGAGUGUGUAGGCGGUGUUCUAAGUUUGUCGUGAAAUCUCCCGGCUUAACUGGGAGGGUGCGGCGAAAACUGGAAUGCUAGAGGAUGGGAGAGGUAAGCGGAAUUCCUGGUGUAGCGGUGAAAUGCGUAGAUAUCAGGAGGAACACCAGUGGCGAAGGCGGCUACCUGGCACAUAACUGACGCUGAUACGCGAAAGCGUGGGGAGCGAACCGG